AUUGAACGUUGGCGGCAUGCCUUACACAUGCAAGUCGAACGGCAGCAUGGAAGAGCUUGCUCUUCUGAUGGCGAGUGGCGAACGAGUGAGUAAAGCAUCGGAACGUACCGUGUAGUGGGGGAUAACGUAGCGAAAGUUACGCUAAUACCGCAUACGCACUGAGGUGGAAAGCAGGGGAUCGCAAGACCUUGCGCUAUACGAGCGGCCGAUGGCAGAUUAGCUAGUUGGUAGGGUAAAGGCCUACCAAGGCGACGAUAUGUAGCGGGUCUGAGAGGAUGAUCCGCCACACUGGGACUGAGACACGGCCCAGACUCCUACGGGAGGCAGCAGUGGGGAAUUUUGGACAAUGGGGGAAACCCUGAUCCAGCCAUGCCGCGUGAGUGAAGAAGGCCUUCGGGUUGUAAAGCUCUUUCGGCUGGGAAGAAAUCGCACAGGCUAAUACUCUGUGUGGAUGACGGUACCAGCAUAAGAAGCACCGGCUAACUACGUGCCAGCCGCCGCCGUAA
RNAcentral lists this ribosomal RNA (506 nucleotides) under uncultured bacterium. RNAcentral describes it as "partial 16S ribosomal RNA". It matches the Rfam family "Bacterial small subunit ribosomal RNA", at positions 30 to 523 of the family's 1533-position model. The record is from RNAcentral.